Molecule: ribosomal RNA, 922 nt
Filed under: uncultured bacterium
Lineage: Bacteria
Description: bacterial SSU rRNA
Rfam family: Bacterial small subunit ribosomal RNA
Source: RNAcentral
AAGUAGCUUGCUACUGGACCUAGCGGCGGACGGGUGAGUAAUGCUUAGGAAUCUGCCUAUUAGUGGGGGACAACAUCUCGAAAGGGAUGCUAAUACCGCAUACGUCCUACGGGAGAAAGCAGGGGACCUUCGGGCCUUGCGCUAAUAGAUGAGCCUAAGUCGGAUUAGCUAGUUGGUGGGGUAAAGGCCUACCAAGGCGACGAUCUGUAGCGGGUCUGAGAGGAUGAUCCGCCACACUGGGACUGAGACACGGCCCAAGACUCCUACGGGAGGCAGCAGUGGGGAAUAUUGGACAAUGGGGGGAACCCUGAUCCAGCCAUGCCGCGUGUGUGAAGAAGGCCUUUUGGUUGUAAAGCACUUUAAGCGAGGAGGAGGCUACCGAGAUUAAUACUCUUGGAUAGUGGACGUUACUCGCAGAAUAAGCACCGGCUAACUCUGUGCCAGCAGCCGCGGUAAUACAGAGGGUGCAAGCGUUAAUCGGAUUUACUGGGCGUAAAGCGCGCGUAGGUGGCCAAUUAAGUCAAAUGUGAAAUCCCCGAGCUUAACUUGGGAAUUGCAUUCGAUACUGGUUGGCUAGAGUAUGGGAGAGGAUGGUAGAAUUCCAGGUGUAGCGGUGAAAUGCGUAGAGAUCUGGAGGAAUACCGAUGGCGAAGGCAGCCAUCUGGCCUAAUACUGACACUGAGGUGCGAAAGCAUGGGGAGCAAACAGGAUUAGAUACCCUGGUAGUCCAUGCCGUAACGAUGUCUACUAGCCGUUGGGGCCUUUGAGGCUUUAGUGGCGCAGCUAACGCGAUAAGUAGACCGCCUGGGGAGUACGGUCGCAAGACUAAAACUCAAAUGAAUUGACGGGGGCCCGCACAAGCGGUGGAGCAUGUGGUUUAAUUCGAUGCAACGCGAAGAACCUUACCUGGUCUUGACAUAGU